This 438-nucleotide ribosomal RNA is filed under the name uncultured bacterium. RNAcentral describes it as "bacterial SSU rRNA". It matches the Rfam family "Bacterial small subunit ribosomal RNA", at positions 954 to 1392 of the family's 1533-position model. The record is from RNAcentral.
GCAAAACGCGAAGAACCUUACCCACCUUUGGCAUGUACGGAAUCCUUUAGAGAUAGAGGAGUGCUCGAAAGAGAGCCGUAACACAGGUGCUGCAUGGCUGUCGUCAGCUCGUGUCGUGAGGUGUUGGGUUAAGUCCCGCAACGAGCGCAACCCUUGCCAUUAGUUGCUACAUUUAGUUGAGCACUCUAAUGGGACUGCCGGUGACAAACCGGAGGAAGGUGGGGAUGACGUCAAGUCCUCGUGGCCCUUAUAGGUGGGGCUACACACGUCAUACAAUGGCUGGUACAAAGGGUUGCCAACCCGCGAGGGGGAGCUAAUCCCAUAAAGCCAGUCGCAGUCCGGAUCGCAGUCUGCAACUCGACUGCGUGAAGUCGGAAUCGCUAGUAAUCGUGGAUCAGAAUGUCACGGUGAAUACGUUCCCGGGUCUUGUACACACCG